This 389-nucleotide ribosomal RNA is filed under the name uncultured bacterium. RNAcentral's name for it is "bacterial SSU rRNA". It matches the Rfam family "Bacterial small subunit ribosomal RNA", at positions 271 to 671 of the family's 1533-position model. The record is from RNAcentral.
AGGCGACGACGGGUAGCCGGCCUGAGAGGGCGACCGGCCACGCUGGGACUGAGACACGGCCCAGACUCCUACGGGAGGCAGCAGUGGGGAAUAUUGGGCAAUGGAGGAAACUCUGACCCAGCGACGCCGCGUGCGGGAUGAAGGCCUUCGGGUUGUAAACCGCUUUCAGCAGGGAAGAAGCGAAAGUGACGGUACCUGCAGAAGAAGCACCGGCUAACUAUGUGCCAGCAGCCGCGGUAAUACAUAGGGUGCAAGCGUUGUCCGGAAUUAUUGGGCGUAAAGAGCUCGUAGGUGGUUCGUCACGUCGGAUGUGAAACUCUGGGGCUUAACCCCAGACCUGCAUUCGAUACGGGCGAGCUUGAGUAUGGUAGGGGAGACNUGGAAUUCCU